RNAcentral lists this ribosomal RNA (413 nucleotides) under uncultured microorganism. Its description in RNAcentral is "bacterial SSU rRNA". It matches the Rfam family "Archaeal small subunit ribosomal RNA", at positions 330 to 745 of the family's 1478-position model. The record is from RNAcentral.
GUGCAGCAGUCGAGAAACCUCCGCAAUACACGAAAGUGUGACGGGGCCAUCCCGAGUGCCGUCCGCUGAGGACGGCUUUUCCCCAGUGUACACAGCUGGGGGAAUAAGGAGAGGGCAAGCCUGGUGUCAGCCGCCGCGGUAAUACCAGCUCUCCGAGUGGUGGGGACGCUUAUUGGGCCUAAAGCAUCCGUAGCCGGCUGGGCAAGUCCUCCGUUAAAUCCAACGAUUCAAUCGUUGGGCUGCGGGGGAUACUGUCCAGCUUGGGGGCGGGAGAGGCCGACGGUAUUCCCGGGGUAGGGGUGAAAUCCUAUAAUCCCGGGAGGACCACCAGUGGCGAAGGCUGUCGGCUAGAACGCGCCCGACGGUGAGGGAUGAAAGCUGGGGGAGCGAACCGGAUUAGAUACCCCUGUAGU